GAGGCCCUGCGGGAGCCGACUGGGAAGGUCUGGAACUCUGACACCCCGCCCCGCGAGCUGUGCUCUCAGUCUCAUGUCAUCCCACCACAAGGACAGAUAUUAAGUACCAUAUAUGGGAAAAAUGCUAUUUUACAUAAUUAUGAUCCCUGUGGGGGCGGGCAUGGACUCAGCCCUGGAUUCCAUUGUGAGCGUCUUGAGUUCGAUUCCUGACCCUGCCUCUUUAGGAUCCGCACGUUGCUGCCUUUCAGCCUCCAAACCUUCGCUCUGGCCGUUCUCUCCACCUGGAAUACCCUUCCGAGCCUCUCUUCACCUCCAUGUCAUUAACUCGCAUACAUCCUUUCAGGUACUUGUUACAAAUUGCACUUUUUUUUUGUUACUGUCCACUACAAGAGGAUAAAAAAUGUUUUCAUUUUUAAAUGAAAAAUCUUUUGAUCCAUUUGGAAUUUAUUUUUGGGGUAAGGAAGAAACCUAAGAUAAUUUUUGUAAUAGCCACUUGUCCAAACACUGUUUUCUCCACUGAUUUUAGUUGGCACCUUCAUCGCCUAUAGAACUAUUAUACUUGAAGCUGUUUCUGACUUGUAUACAUUGAUCUCUCUGUGUGCACCUGUGCCAAUCCCACCAUGCUUUAAUGAAGAUACCUUUAUAAUACAUUCUAUAUCUAUGAGGGCAAAUUUCUCAUCAUUACUCUUUCUUACUGGAAUGUGCUUGCUAUCAUGACUAUUCUUCCAAAUUAACUUCAGAAAAAAGCUAUGUUCUAAAGGCAAAAGAAAGCUGGGAAAAAAAGAUUUUGCAACUCUGUGACAAAUUACUAUCAGCAAUAUAUAAAGAUCUCUUCCCAGUUGAUAAGAAAAACCUCGGCCGGGCGCGUGGCUCAUGCCUGUAAUCCCAACAUUUUGGGAGGCCGAGGCGGGCGGAUCACCUGAGGUUGGGAGUUCAAGGGCAGCCUGACCAACGUGGAGAAACCCCGUCUCUACUAAAAAUACAAAAUAAUUAGCCGGGCAUGGUGGCCCAUGCUUGUAAUCCCAGUUACUCAGGAGGCUGAGGCAGGAGAAUCGCUUGAACCCGGGAGGCGGAGGUUGCAGUGAGCAGAGAUCGUACCACUGCACUCUAGCCUGGGCAACAAGAGCAUAACUCCGCCUCAAAAAAAAAAAAAACAAAGAAAAAGAAAAAGAAAAACCUCAAAGACUCCAAAAUAAAAAUGGCCAAAAACAGGAACAGGUGAUUUUAAAGAAGAAUUAUAAAUGGCCAAUAAUUAUUUUUAAAAAGCCAUAAGAAAUGCAAACAAAACAACAUAAAAUGCCAUUUUCACCUAAUUAAAAAAAAAAUGCUCAAUAUUGGUCAGGUUUAUAGAUACAGAUGAGAAAGUAAAUUGAUCAAUUCUAUCUGAGAAUUCAUCUUAAAAGACAUUAGAAAAGUACACAGAUAUGAACUUUAAAGUUCUUUGCAGCCGGGCGCGGUGGCUCACGCCUGUAAUCCCAGCACUUUGGGAGGCCGAGGCGGGCGGAUCACGAGGUCAGGAGAUCGAGACCAUCCCGGCUAAAACGGUGAAACCCCGUCUCUACUAAAACUACAAAAAAUAGCCGGGCGUA
Molecule: long non-coding RNA, 1589 nt
Filed under: Homo sapiens (human)
Lineage: Eukaryota; Metazoa; Chordata; Mammalia; Primates; Hominidae
Description: non-protein coding lnc-APOL1-1:4
Source: RNAcentral